This 96-nucleotide small nucleolar RNA is filed under the name Cebus imitator (Panamanian white-faced capuchin). Lineage: Eukaryota; Metazoa; Chordata; Mammalia; Primates; Cebidae. The record is from RNAcentral.
AAUGUCCAUCACGGGAAACACAGAGAGAGCAACUCUGGUUUUGCUUUAAUCACAGAGCUCUUUGUUAGAUCUGUGGAAAGCAACUACAACAUAGAG